AGAGUUUGAUCCUGGCUCAGAACGAACGCUGGCGGCGUGGCUAACCCAUGCAAGUCGAGCGCGAACGAACCCUUCGGGGUCUUAUUAGCGCGGCGGAACGGUGAGUAAUGUAUGGGCAACGUACCCUGGGCACGAGGAUAGACCAUCGAAAGGUGGCGUAAUACUCGAUGAGACCACACGGGGGCAUCCCCGAGCGGUCAAAGGGUGGGGACCCCUUCGGGGGCCUGCCGGCCCGGGAGCGACCCAUAUCCCAUCAGCUUGUUGGUAGGGUAAUGGCCUACCAAGGCGACGACGGGUAGCCGGACUGAGAGGUCGACCGGCCACAUUGGGACUGAGACACUGCCCAGACUCCUACGGGAGGCUGCAGGGACGAAUAUUCCGCAAUGGGCGAAAGCCUGACGGAGCGACGCCGCGUGUGGGAAGAAGCCUUUCGGGGUGUAAACCACUGUCAGGGGCCACCAAGCAAAUCCGCCUAAUACGCGGAGGCGUUGAGGAACCCCAAAGGAAGCCACGGCUAACUCCGUGCCAGCAGCCGCGGUAAGACGGAGGUGGCAAGCGUUGUUCGGAAUCAUUGGGCUUAAAGAGCACGUAGGCGGUCUGUCAAGCGUCUUGUGAAAUCCCUCGGCUCAACCGAGGAAUUGCUUGGCGAACUGGCGGACUUGAGGCAAGUAGAGGCGCGUGGAACUCUUGGUGGAGCGGUGAAAUGCGUAGAUAUCAAGAGGAACGCCGGCGGCGAAAGCGACGCGCUAGGCUUGUUCGAGGUUCCAGAUGCGAUUCGUCGCAGAUGGGGCCUCUUCUGACGCUGAGGUGCGAAAGCUAGGGUAGCGAACGGGAUUAGAU
RNAcentral lists this ribosomal RNA (840 nucleotides) under uncultured bacterium. RNAcentral's name for it is "bacterial SSU rRNA". It matches the Rfam family "Bacterial small subunit ribosomal RNA", at positions 8 to 783 of the family's 1533-position model. The record is from RNAcentral.